Molecule: unclassified non-coding RNA, 1906 nt
Filed under: uncultured fungus
Lineage: Eukaryota; Fungi
Description: sequence contains 18S rRNA gene, ITS1, 5.8S rRNA gene, ITS2, 28S rRNA gene
Rfam family: Eukaryotic large subunit ribosomal RNA (bases 897-1906)
Source: RNAcentral
GGUUGGAUCAUUAAGGAUUUCAAACACGGGCGCUUCUAGCAGAAAUGCUAGACAGUGGCCUGCGGAUUCUAUCCGAUCCGUGCCUAUUGUCUUUUGUGUGUAUCCCGUUGCUUGACGGCGCGGGUUACUGUUAUCUAUCGAGAGGUUCUACGGGGUAGCUCCCGGAGGGCUUCUAAGGUUGGCUAGUCUAAAGUCUGUUCAUCCAGCACGGGUCGCUUUCUAGUAGAGCGGCCUAGAGCGGUGGGGAGAUGGUCCGGAGCUGUUUCUCUCUAGCGGAGGGACGCUUGCGAGGGCUAGCCGACACAAAACCUACAUGCCGUUCUUGUUGUUUUGUUCAAUAUAUACCACUUGUACAAGCGAAAGCUUUACAAAAUCUAUUACAACUUCUGACAACGGAUCUCUUGGCUCUCGCAACGAUGAAGAACGCAGCGAAAUGCGAUACGUAAUGUGAAUUGCAGAUCUUCGCGAAUCAUCGAAUCUUUGAACGCAUCUUGCACUUCUUGGUAUCCCAGGAAGUAUGCCUGUUUGAGUAUCAAUGGAAACCGUCCCAUAAACCUGUUGCCUCUAGCAUCUGCUAGCGGAAGGUGGUUGGGGAGUUGAGACGUCUAUCUCUCGCUUUGCGCUGAUAGUGUCUUUAAACCCAGUUUCUAUCCUGCCACUGUCGAGGAAGCUUUGUAGCCUGGCACGUCGCAAGGAGACUAUCAUUUAGUGAGGGAUUCUUCCCCUUCUAUCUCUAGUUUUCUGUCAAGCGCGGGCCGUUAGACAAGGGCUGUAGGCGACAUUCCCACGGUGACUUGUGGUAGACAUUGUAACCUUUGGUGAACCACUCUAGCAAUGGCGACCUUGGGACUCUAUGUUUGUUAUGUUUGCAGUCUGCAUUCAACAAGCACCCAACUUGGUCUCAAAUCAGGCAAGAAGACCCGCUGAACUUAAGCAUAUUAAUAAGCGGAGGAAAAGAAACUAACAAGGAUUCCCCUAGUAACGGCGAGUGAAGCGGGAAGAGCUCAAAUUUGAAAUCUCCCUAACGGGCGAAUUGUAGUUGAUAGAAGCGUUUUCGGGGGUAGGCUGGGCACAAGUUUCCUGGAAAGGUACAUCAUAGAGGGUGAGAAUCCCGUCUGUGGUCCAGCUCUGCUCCUAUGUGAUACGUUUUCUAAGAGUCGGGUUGUUUGGGAUUGCAGCCCUAAAUGGGUGGUAAAUACCAUCUAAAGCUAAAUACUAGCGAGAGACCGAUAGCGAACAAGUACCGUGAGGGAAAGAUGAAAAGAACUUUGAAAAGAGAGUUAAACAGUACGUGAAAUUGUCAGAAGGGAACGGCUUGAAACCAGUCUUGCGUCUGGAAUUCAGCCUCUCUAACGAGGGGUGCAAUUCGCUAGACGCAGGUCAGCGUCAGUUUGAGGAGAGGGAAAAAGACUAGAGAAGGUAGCCUUCGGGUGUUAUAGCUCUGGUUUCUACCUCUCUUUGGACUGAGGGCCGCGGCGUGAUACGGGGUUGGUGGGUUCCUGUAACCUACUAGUAAACUGCAUGCAGAUUGCUAGCAAGGCCUGCUUGAUUCCCUCUAGCUCCACACGUCUAGGAUGCUGACGAAAUGGUCUCAAACCACCCGUCUUGAAACACGGACCAAGGAGUCUAACGUAUAUGCGAGUGUAUGGGUGUCAAACCCCUGCGCGUAAUGAAAGUGAAACUGGUGUGAACCGCAAGGAGCAACAUCGACCGGUCUGGAUUUCUUUGAUAGAUCUGAGUAAGAGCAUAUACGCUAGGACCCGAAAGAUGGUGAACUAUGUCCGAAUAGGGUGAAGCCAGAGGAAACUCUGGUGGAAGCUCGUAGCGAUUCUGACGUGCAAAUCGAUCGUCAAAUUUGGGUAUAGGGGCGAAAGACUAAUCGAACCAUCUAGUAGCUGGUUCCCUC